CCCUUAGAUGUUCUGGGCCGCACGCGCGCUACACUGAUGCAUUAAACGAGUCCAACCUUGACCGAGAGGUCCGGGUAAUCUUUGAAACUGCAUCGUGAUGGGGCUAGAUUAUUGCAAUUAUUAAUCUUCAACGAGGAAUGCCUAGUAAGCGUGAUUCAUCAAAUCGCGUUGAUUACGUCCCUGCCCUUUGUACACACCGCCCGUCGCUCCUACCGAUUGAGUGUGUUGGUGAGGAGUUUGGAUUGGCCUCGGAAGGUGGUUCGCCACCGUCCGUAGCUGAGAAGUUCUCCAAACCGCCCCACUUAGAGGAAGGAGAAGUCGUAACA
RNAcentral lists this ribosomal RNA (326 nucleotides) under uncultured eukaryote. RNAcentral's name for it is "partial 18S ribosomal RNA". It matches the Rfam family "Eukaryotic small subunit ribosomal RNA", at positions 1470 to 1796 of the family's 1831-position model. The record is from RNAcentral.